Molecule: ribosomal RNA, 315 nt
Filed under: Triticum aestivum (bread wheat)
Lineage: Eukaryota; Viridiplantae; Streptophyta; Magnoliopsida; Poales; Poaceae
Description: partial small subunit ribosomal RNA
Source: RNAcentral
AUGCAACUCUAUGUCGACUCGCUACUCUCGUCGACUCUACAUUCGGCUUCCAUGGGUGGUGGUGACUGCUCAUCGUCGGUAGAUGUUUCUACCUCGACCUCUUAUGUCCUGUCCCUGUCUGCAUGUGAGAUUGCACAACAACGAUGCCUGCUUGAUGGUUGGGAUUCCUCACCGACAGUUUCUGCAGGUUCCAUGACUGACUCUUAUGGCAUUGAGAAACCACUUCCUACUCAUUCAGCUUCCACUUUGACCUCCGUUCGACCUAUGGGUCUCAUGUUCGUGUUCUUACGGCUCAUGGAACUCCACUCCCUGUAG